CAGUCGCCACGGUAAUACAGAGGGUGCAAGCGUUAAUCGGAAUUACUGGGCGUAAAGGGCGCGUAGGUGGUUGCGUAAGUGAGAUGUGAAAUCCCCGGGCUUAACCUGGGAAUGGCAAUGGAUACUGGCGAGCUAGAGUGUGUCAGAGGAUGGUGGAAUUCCCGGUGUAGCGGUGAAAUGCGUAGAGAUCGGGAGGAACAUCAGUGGCGAAGACGGCCAUCUGGGACAACACUGACGCUGAGGCACGAAAGCGUGGGGAGCAAACAGGAUUAGAUACCCCCGUAGUCCCUGUCUCUUAUAC
RNAcentral lists this ribosomal RNA (301 nucleotides) under uncultured bacterium. RNAcentral's name for it is "partial 16S ribosomal RNA". It matches the Rfam family "Bacterial small subunit ribosomal RNA", at positions 509 to 807 of the family's 1533-position model. The record is from RNAcentral.